GCCCACCGCUUGUGCAGCUUGGUUCCCAACAGGCCAUGGACCAAUACCAGGUUGGAGACCCCUGUGCUAAAAUAUUAAGCCCAGCUUUUCUUAACAUUCAUAGGUGAAUUGAAGACUGAAUACCCUUCUUGAAGAUUAUGGCAUAUUCAGCAAUGUGGCCAUCAUUUCUCCCCACCCCAAAUGUGCCAUGGAAUACUUCUGAGAACAAUGCAACAUUAUUACCAAAGUAUUCUUGUCUACAUUUUGAAAGAGUCAAGGUCAAGGCGAUCCUGCAUCUGGAGAAGGAGUGGUCAGAGUGAUGUCUCGAGAUGGGAUGGCGGUUGAUUGGAGCAUGUGAUCGACUGAGGAGUGAGGGGAUGGUUUUGGGAGUUUUGAUUUACUGAGGGAAAACCCGGACUGCUCAGAUUCGGGUUUUCCCAGAUGUAUCAGUUUACCUAUUCUAGUAAAUAGAACUUUGAAAAAUGCUUGCUUCAGAGUCUUUACUUGGAGUUGGGGUUUUUCUGGAAUGCUGACAGUUGGCAGCAAAGCCAUUAAUUUCAGCUGAGCUACCAUUUUAAAUGUUUAAAUGAAAAGACAAGAAUUAUCACCCCACAUUAAAGGGUAAAUACUACCCUGAAUGACUGUGCUUACAUUUCUCGCACAAUAUAUUAUGCAAUGCAAUUAAUAUUCUUUCAGCCUACAUUUGUUUAGGAGAGAAUAAUGCUACCAAGAUAGGGCAAUUUCAUCUGUAUUUAAAAUGAAUACCUGAAACACAAUUCCUGAAACACAAGGAUGAUCCUGUAGAAUAGGACCUCAUAAAUAAUCUCAGAGAAUUAUUAAAAAAAUAAAAUAGAAAGAACCAAAUAUUCCAAUGUUUUCUGAGAACAUGAAAAGUGUAGUGUUCAAAACUAUAUUUAUGAUAAAUCAGAGCCUUUAUGUAUCUCAUAAAAUCCUUCAGCAUUGUCAUUUUCUAUCCUAUACAUUAUUGUAUCAAUAACCGGAAAUAAAUGAAAUCAUAUUUA
Non-coding RNA from Pantherophis guttatus, 1001 nucleotides. The record is from RefSeq and is a predicted model, not a curated record. Lineage: Eukaryota; Metazoa; Chordata; Lepidosauria; Squamata; Colubridae.